Molecule: ribosomal RNA, 1075 nt
Filed under: Staphylococcus pseudintermedius
Lineage: Bacteria; Bacillati; Bacillota; Bacilli; Caryophanales; Staphylococcaceae
Description: partial 23S ribosomal RNA
Rfam family: Bacterial large subunit ribosomal RNA
Source: RNAcentral
CCUGAGUACGACGGAGCACGUGAAAUUCCGUCGGAAUCUGGGAGGACCAUCUCCUAAGGCUAAAUACUCUCUAGUGACCGAUAGUGAACCAGUACCGUGAGGGAAAGGUGAAAAGUACCCCGGAAGGGGAGUGAAAGAGAACUUGAAACCGUGUGCUUACAAGUAGUCAGAGCCCGUUAAUGGGUGAUGGCGUGCCUUUUGUAGAAUGAACCGGCGAGUUACGAUCUGAUGCAAGGUUAAGCAGGAAAUGUGGAGCCGUAGCGAAAGCGAGUCUGAAUAGGGCGAAUGAGUAUUUGGUCGUAGACCCGAAACCAGGUGAUCUACCCUUGGUCAGGUUGAAGUUCAGGUAACACUGAAUGGAGGACCGAACCGACUUACGUUGAAAAGUGAGCGGAUGAACUGAGGGUAGCGGAGAAAUUCCAAUCGAACUUGGAGAUAGCUGGUUCUCUCCGAAAUAGCUUUAGGGCUAGCCUCAAGUGAUGAUUAUUGGAGGUAGAGCACUGUUUGGACGAGGGGCCCCUCUCGGGUUACCGAAUUCAGACAAACUCCGAAUGCCAAAUAAUUUAACUUGGGAGUCAGAAUGUGGGUGAUAAGGUCCAUAUUCGAAAGGGAAACAGCCCAGACCACCAGCUAAGGUCCCAAAAUAUAUGUUAAGUGGAAAAGGAUGUGGCGUUGCCCAGACAACUAGGAUGUUGGCUUAGAAGCAGCCAUCAUUUAAAGAGUGCGUAAUAGCUCACUAGUCGAGUGACACUGCGCCGAAAAUGUACCGGGGCUAAACAUAUUACCGAAGCUGUGGAUUGUCCUUUGGACAAUGGUAGGAGAGCGUUCUAAGGGCGUUGAAGCAUGAUCGCAAGGACAUGUGGAGCGCUUAGAAGUGAGAAUGCCGGUGUGAGUAGCGAAAGACGGGUGAGAAUCCCGUCCACCGAUUGACUAAGGUUUCCAGAGGAAGGCUCGUCCGCUCUGGGUUAGUCGGGUCCUAAGCUGAGGCCGACAGGCGUAGGCGAUGGAUAACAGGUUGAUAUUCCUGUACCACCAUUAUUCGUUUUAAGCGAUGGGGGGACGCAGUAGGAUAGGC